Molecule: ribosomal RNA, 778 nt
Filed under: uncultured Neocallimastigales
Lineage: Eukaryota; Fungi; Neocallimastigomycota; Neocallimastigomycetes; Neocallimastigales
Description: partial large subunit ribosomal RNA
Rfam family: Eukaryotic large subunit ribosomal RNA
Source: RNAcentral
UAUCUCUGUAGAGUCUGCAUAUCAAUAAGCGGAGGAAAAGAAACUAACUAGGAUUCCCUUAGUAACGGCGAGUGAAGCGGGAAGAGCUCAAAUUUGAAAUCUUCAAGGUUUUACCUUGACGAAUUGUAGUUUAAAGAAGUGUUUUCUGUUGGUGUUUUGGUAAAAGUUCUUUGGAAUAGGACAUCAUAGAGGGUGAGAAUCCCGUAUUUGACCGUUAUUUUCAGCUGUGUGCUACACUUUCAAAGAGUCGGAUUGUUUGGGAAUGCAGUCCAAAAUGGGUGGUAAAUUUCAUCUAAAGCUAAAUAUUGGCGAGAGACCGAUAGCGAACAAGUACCGUGAGGGAAAGAUGAAAAGAACUUUGAAGAGAGAGUUAAACAGUACGUGAAAUUGUCAAAAGGGAAGCGUUUGACACCAGUGUUGUUUUCUCGAAAAUCAAUUAAAAAAUGGCUUGGAUUUUGUAUUGUAAUUGACCUAUAAGCUUACUGUCACUCUUUUCAUGUCUUUUUUUAAUGCACUUUUCGUUUAACAAGUCAACAUCAGUUUCUUUUGUUGUAAAAAGGUCAUUGGAAGGUGGCUUUCUUUUCGGAGAAAGUGUUUAUAGCCUUUGACUUCUGCAAUCGGAGAGACUGAGGUCUGCAGCGUAGAUCCUUCUGGAUUAGAUUCAUUUGUGCUAAGUUACAACCGUUUAUAGACAACUUGUUGACUAUAUUCGAUCCUGUAGCUUACUCGCUUAUGUAAUUUUACCUACGCUUAGGAUGUUGAUAUGCAUGACUGAUAU